This 253-nucleotide ribosomal RNA is filed under the name uncultured bacterium. RNAcentral's name for it is "partial 16S ribosomal RNA". It matches the Rfam family "Bacterial small subunit ribosomal RNA", at positions 524 to 776 of the family's 1533-position model. The record is from RNAcentral.
UACAGAGGUGGCAAGCGUUGUUCGGAAUUACUGGGCGUAAAGGGCGCGUCGGCGGCCUUCUAAGUCAGACGUGAAAUCCCCCGGCUUAACCUGGGAACUGCGUCUGAUACUGGGAGGCUUGAGUAUGGGAGAGGGAUGUAGAAUUCCAGGUGUAGCGGUGAAAUGCGUAGAUAUCUGGAGGAAUACCGGUGGCGAAGGCGGCAUCCUGGACCGACAUUGACGCUGAGGAGCGAAAGCCAGGGGAGCAAACGGG